RNAcentral lists this transfer RNA (78 nucleotides) under Candidatus Thorarchaeota archaeon SMTZ1-83. Its description in RNAcentral is "tRNA-Arg". It matches the Rfam family "tRNA". Rfam says of the family: Transfer RNA (tRNA) molecules are approximately 80 nucleotides in length. Their secondary structure includes four short double-helical elements and three loops (D, anti-codon, and T loops). The record is from RNAcentral. RNAcentral also lists the same sequence under 7 other names. Lineage: Archaea; Promethearchaeati; Candidatus Thorarchaeota.
GGGGCCGUAGUCUAGCAUGGAUAAGGCACCAGCCUCCGGAGUUGGGUAUCGCCGGUUCAAAUCCGGCCGGUCCCGCCA